UACGCAUGCUGGAGCCCCGCAGCGGCGCUUGGGACACUGUCCCGCACCGUGAACAAUCCGGGGCUUAA
The sequence is a regulatory RNA element, 68 nucleotides long. It matches the Rfam family "ybhL leader". Rfam says of the family: This family is a putative regulatory RNA structure that is found upstream of an uncharacterized membrane protein in alpha-proteobacteria. The record is from Rfam.